CCUACGGGAGGCAGCAGUAGGGAAUCUUUCACAAUGGGCGAAAGCCUGAUGCAGCAACGCCGCGUGCAGGAUGACGGUCUUCGGGUUGUAAACUGCUUUUAUAAGCGAGAAAUAUGAUGGUAACUUAUGAAUCAGGAUCGGCUAACUACGUGCCAGCAGCCGCGGUCAUACGUAGGAUCCGAGCAUUAUCCGGAGUGACUGGGUGUAAAGAGUUGCGUAGGUGGGAUAGUAAGUAGCGAGUGAAAUCUGGUGGCUCAACCAUUCAGACUAUUGGCUAAACUGUUAAGCUCGAGACCGUUAGAGGUAACUGGAAUUGCUAGUGUAGGGGUGAAAUGCGUAGAUAUUAGAAGGAACACCAAUAGCGUAGGCAGGUUGCUGGGACGUUUCUGACGCUGAGGCACGAAAGCGUAGGGAGCAAACGGGAUUAGAUACCCUGGUAGUC
Molecule: ribosomal RNA, 442 nt
Filed under: uncultured bacterium
Lineage: Bacteria
Description: partial 16S ribosomal RNA
Rfam family: Bacterial small subunit ribosomal RNA
Source: RNAcentral